GUGAAUCAUCGAAUUUUUGAACGCAAAUUGCACUCUCUGGUAUUCCGGAGAGUAUGCCUGUUUGAGGGUCAGUUUAAAUAAAAAUCGGUGUGGUUGCUGCCUUUCGUGGUGACGCGCCGGAUUUGGGUCGUCUUGCCUUCGGUUAAGUGACCUAAAUUUUUGCUGGUUUUUUUUCAACGGUUUUAAAUUGUUUUUCGUUCGUUUUCCGU
RNAcentral lists this unclassified non-coding RNA (209 nucleotides) under Glomus sp. Its description in RNAcentral is "partial contains 5.8S ribosomal RNA and internal transcribed spacer 2". The stretch from base 1 to 71 matches the Rfam family "5.8S ribosomal RNA", at positions 84 to 154 of the family's 154-position model. Lineage: Eukaryota; Fungi; Glomeromycota; Glomeromycetes; Glomerales; Glomeraceae. The record is from RNAcentral.